CCUACGGGUGGCAGCAGUGAGGAAUAUUGGUCAAUGGCCGCAAGGCUGAACCAGCCAAGUCGCGUGCGGGAUGACGGUCCUAUGGGUUGUAAACCUCUUUUGUCCGGGAGCAAAAGGCGCCACGUGUGGCGUUUUGCGAGUACCUGAUGAAUAAGCAUCGGCUAACUCCGUGCCAGCAGCCGCGGUAAUACGGAGGAUGCGGGCGUUAUCCGGAUUUAUUGGGUUUAAAGGGUGCGCAGGCGGAAUGUCAAGUCAGCGGUAAAAUUUCGGGGCUCAACCCCGUCGUGCGGUGGAAACUGGCGUGCUUGAGUGAGCGAGAAGUAUGCGGAAUGCGUGGUGUAGCGGUGAAAUGCAUAGAUAUCACGCAGAACUCCGAUUGCGAAGGCAGCAUACCGGCGCUCAACUGACGCUGAUGCACGAAGGCGUGGGUAUCGAACAGGAUUAGAUACCCGUGUAGUC
RNAcentral lists this ribosomal RNA (459 nucleotides) under uncultured bacterium. RNAcentral describes it as "partial 16S ribosomal RNA". It matches the Rfam family "Bacterial small subunit ribosomal RNA", at positions 338 to 795 of the family's 1533-position model. The record is from RNAcentral.